GGUCUAUUGGUAUAUGGGUAUUACACAUGCCUGUCACGUAUGUAAAACGGGUUCGAGUCCCGUAUAGACCGCCA
RNAcentral lists this transfer RNA (74 nucleotides) under Klebsiella pneumoniae. RNAcentral's name for it is "tRNA-Asp". It matches the Rfam family "tRNA". From Rfam's summary of the family: Transfer RNA (tRNA) molecules are approximately 80 nucleotides in length. Their secondary structure includes four short double-helical elements and three loops (D, anti-codon, and T loops). The record is from RNAcentral. Lineage: Bacteria; Pseudomonadati; Pseudomonadota; Gammaproteobacteria; Enterobacterales; Enterobacteriaceae.